GCCUGGGUGGCUCAGUCGGUUGAGCGUCCGACUUUGGCUCAGGUCACGAUCUCACGGUUCGUGAGUUCAAGCCCCGCAUCAGGCU
Molecule: transfer RNA, 85 nt
Filed under: Felis catus (domestic cat)
Lineage: Eukaryota; Metazoa; Chordata; Mammalia; Carnivora; Felidae
Rfam family: tRNA
About the family: Transfer RNA (tRNA) molecules are approximately 80 nucleotides in length. Their secondary structure includes four short double-helical elements and three loops (D, anti-codon, and T loops). Further hydrogen bonds mediate the characteristic L-shaped molecular structure. tRNAs have two regions of fundamental functional importance: the anti-codon, which is responsible for specific mRNA codon recognition, and the 3' end, to which the tRNAs corresponding amino acid is attached (by aminoacyl-tRNA synthetases). tRNAs cope with the degeneracy of the genetic code in two manners: having more than one tRNA (with a specific anti-codon) for a particular amino acid; and 'wobble' base-pairing, i.e. permitting non-standard base-pairing at the 3rd anti-codon position.
Source: Rfam by way of RNAcentral